Molecule: ribosomal RNA, 441 nt
Filed under: uncultured Porphyromonadaceae bacterium
Lineage: Bacteria; Pseudomonadati; Bacteroidota; Bacteroidia; Bacteroidales; Porphyromonadaceae
Description: bacterial SSU rRNA
Rfam family: Bacterial small subunit ribosomal RNA
Source: RNAcentral
UGAGGAAUAUUGGGUCAAUGGGCGAAAGCCUGAACCAGCCAAGUCGCGUGAGGGAAGAAGGUCCUACGGAUUGUAAACCUCUUUUGCCGGGGAGCAAAGGGGCUAUUUAUAGCAAGAUGAGCGUACCCGAAGAAAAGCAUCGGCUAACUCCGUGCCAGCAGCCGCGGUAAUACGGAGGAUGCGAGCGUUAUCCGGAUUUAUUGGGUUUAAAGGGUGCGCAGGCGGACUCGUCAAGUCAGCGGUAAAAAUUCGGGGCUCAACCCCGUCCGGCCGUUGAAACUGAGAGACUGGAGUGCGACAGAGGGAAGCGGAAUGCGAGGUGUAGCGGUGAAAUGCAUAGAUAUCGCGCAGAACUCCGAUUGCGAAGGCAGCUUUCCAUGUCGUAACUGACGCUGAGGCACGAAAGCGUGGGGAUCGAACAGGAUUAGAUACCCUGGUAGU